GACGAACGCUGGCGGCGUGCCUAAUACAUGCAAGUUGAGCGCUGAAGGUUGGUACUUGUACCGACUGGAUGAGCAGCGAACGGGUGAGUAACGCGUGGGGAAUCUGCCUUUGAGCGGGGGACAACAUUUGGAAACGAAUGCUAAUACCGCAUAAAAACUUUAAACACAAGUUUUAAGUUUGAAAGAUGCAAUUGCAUCACUCAAAGAUGAUCCCGCGUUGUAUUAGCUAGUUGGUGAGGUAAAGGCUCACCAAGGCGAUGAUACAUAGCCGACCUGAGAGGGUGAUCGGCCACAUUGGGACUGAGACACGGCCCAAACUCCUACGGGAGGCAGCAGUAGGGAAUCUUCGGCAAUGGACGAAAGUCUGACCGAGCAACGCCGCGUGAGUGAAGAAGGUUUUCGGAUCGUAAAACUCUGUUGGUAGAGAAGAACGUGGGUGAGAGUGGAAAGCUCAUCAAGUGACGGUAACUACCCAGAAAGGGACGGCUAACUACGUG
This 497-nucleotide ribosomal RNA is filed under the name uncultured bacterium. Its description in RNAcentral is "partial 16S ribosomal RNA". It matches the Rfam family "Bacterial small subunit ribosomal RNA", at positions 28 to 507 of the family's 1533-position model. The record is from RNAcentral.